UUCUUUGUGAUUAGAUAUAAAAUUUUCAUGAGGUUCUUGAAGCAAGCUGGAGGUUCUUUAUGGAGUCUACUCCAUGUUAUGAAAUAAAUCCAUUAUGUAGCCAUUUUUAUUAAUCUUUUUCCAUUUUAUAUUAGUUGUGCAUAUCGUAGUCUCACAUAAUGCAAUUCAAUGCAUUUGGCAGAUAUACAUUUGAAUUAUAUUUGAUUCUGUUGGAAGAUAAGGAGGAGAUGGGCUCUAGAUAAAGGCUAUCAACAAGCAAUUAUUUAUCAAAACUAAUCUGUAAAUUAGUAUUUAAAUAUUGUAAAAUCUAUUCCUAAAAAAUAGGAGAUAAGUAGGAGUUAUUCUUGGAGAUUAUUUAGGAGAUUUAUUGUAUAUAUUUCCUUAAACUAGUGAAGAGAUACACGGUGGAAUUAGUUUCAUUCCAUACGGAUUUCAGCAUGGUAUCAGAGCCUGGUACUUGUGCCUUCUGAGCGCUGGAACUCUAGUUCAUACGCUUCCGAUCGCGACAUGGCAGAAAAUCCGUCAGCCAGCACAGCUUCGAAUCUCCUUCUGGCCACAACGAGGACCACCCAAGUUCCAACCUACCCGAUGGCAACUGAGAGUCACUCGCUUCAUAUCACCCAACACAAAUUGGAUGGAACCAACUUUAGAGAGUGGUUCCAAUCCGUGUUGUUGGUCAUCCGUGGAAGGGGAUGCGAAGGCUACCUGACAGGGGAUAUCCCAAAGCCCAGCUCUGAUGCAGCCAAUUUUGGUGUGUGGGAGGCUGAGAAUGCCAUCAUCAUGGCAUGACUGAUUAAUUCCAUGGAGCCUAGCAUCGGACGGACUUAUUUGUUCUACAAAUCAGCAUGCGAAAUAUGGCAAGCAGUUCAGGAGACUUACUCUGACUUAGAGAACACCGCCCAAAGCUUCCAAAUCCGAUCAAAUAUUCGAACCACCAGGCAAGGCUCUAAUUCAGUUACAACAUACUUUAACAUUCUAACAACCUUAUGGCAGGAGAUGGAUCUCUUUUAUGAGAUCAGGUGGGAAUGUUCAGAGAAUGGCAGAAAGUAUAGCAAGAUGGUGGAGAAAGAGCGAGUCUUCGAUUUCCUUCAUGGCUUGAAUCCUGAAUUGGAUAAAGUAAGAGGAAGAUUGCUCGGGACAAAGCCGUUUCCAUCCAUGCGUGAGGCCUUUGCUGAAGUAAGGCGUGAAGAAAGCAGGAGGAAGGUUAUGUUAUCAGCUUCUGUUCACUCAAACUAUGAGGACCUAUCAUCGAGGAAGAUGAUUGGCAGUGCUGAGGAAAGCAGGGGGCUCUACCAGAUCUCAAGUCCUGAUCAUUCUACUGGAACUAGGUUGUAUCUUUACUACAAACAUGGAACUCAAUAAAAAUGAAUGUUUUAUGGUGUCUAUCUCUAAGGCAUGGGUGAACAAAGUUUUCCAUUUAUUGAGGACAUGAACUUUAUGCAAGUCUAAAUCAAAGGUUGUUGUGGAACUGAAAGGAUCAGUAAUCAUUUUACUCUGGCCAAACAUAUAUCCUGGAGAGACAUUCCACCGUUGUGCUUCUCACAACCAUGUUACAUGAUAUGCCUGCUGGGAUUUAUUUUAGAAGAUUGAUAGUUCUAUUGGUUGAAAUUUCCUUCAAAAAAUCUUAUAUGACCAUCUUUUUACUUAGUUGAAUGGGUUCUUUUCAUAGUGUGUUUCUAUAUAUUAGGAGUUUUAAACUUGAUAUUAGUAAUACUUUGACUUGAAUGUUGCAUCAUUUUAGAAGAUUUCUGCUCUCCUAUCAUAAUAGGAAUUCUACUCAACAUAUCUGAAAUAAAACCACAGUUUUAGUUCAAAUUUGGUUGCUGUUUUCUUUUCUUCAGAUGGCUAUUUUCUUCUGGGCAAGAAAUUGUGUAUGCGUGAGUCUAUGUGGGUUGAUAAGUUGUUUCCUAUUUGCAAGUUAUGGUGUUUGGAAUGAUAAUCAUCAUUCUCUAGUUUUACUAUUCUGUGUUGCAUUGUCUUCUGCAACAAGUGUUGUUUCUUUAAGAAAAGUAUUGGUCCCUCUAAAAAGAAGGGCAAUACUGUCAAGAACCUGUUGGAUAAUAUUUAAUUUUGUUUGAGGGUGAGUCUUAGUAGCAAUGGUAAGAUCUCACUUCUGUGACUAUAUGGUCACAGGUAUGAGUUGUGGAAGCCUCUUUGAAAAGCAAGGAUAAGGUUGCAUAAAAAUAUGACCCUCCCUUGGACCUUGCAAAUUGGGGAGCCUUGUGAACUGGGGAUGUCCUUUGGAUAAAGUUUUUAUAUGAUUAGCUUUGUUGAAAAUUUUCUUGAAAUAUUUUGUUUCUAUUAGGAUUUUUGAUGGAUUUUAUCAUAGACUUUGUGGCUAUAUAUUACUGUGUUAGAUAUGAUUAAUUUCAAAGGAGUUCUAGUUGUUUAGAAAAUUUUAUCAUGUCUAUAGAUAUGACUUUUGUAAUUAAAUUUUGGUUGUGUUAAUGGAUAAAAAUAAAUUAAUUUUUUAAUGGCAUUGAGUUGGUUUUUUCUUCUCCUCUCUUGCUCCUUUUUGUCUCUGCCUUUAAUGUGGAACCGAAAAAGGAAAAGAAGAGGAGUGUAGUAGUAAAAGGAGAUUAGAAGAGGGGGAGGAGAUUACAAGGAGAAGAGAAGGAUGCAGAGACAGAUCUGCAAUAGUAUCAGCGGCAGAAAGAAGAACAAUAGGAAGAGGGAAGAAAGAAAAGAAGGGGCAUGAUUGAAGAAAGGGGGGGGGGGGGGUGUGGGGAUCUAGCUCUUACGAAUUUAGAAUACCGCUUAAAUUGUACUACAGAACUUAUUAAAAAAUAAAACUAAAAUUCAUCUGAAUAAAAUUAAAGAAUCCUAUGGGUGUCCCCAGUGUAGGGGCUGUCUCAUUUCUUCUUGGUUUUUCUCUUCUCUUCUUUUUUCCCCCUUCUUUUUUGCUUCCUUGUCACAUUAAGGAACCUUGAUCUAUUACUUGGUGAUUCCUAGCAGAACUUCCAAUUUCAUUCAUUAAUUUCUUAUACCUAGCCAAUUUUUUAUCUUUGGUUAUUGCUUUUCCUUUUGAAAUACUGGGGAUGUGGAAAUUGGGGACUGGUCAGAAUUCAGAAAUACAGUGCUGCAUUUUAUUGAGAAAAGGAAAAUGUACCUGCUCUGUUCCGUUUCUGUAUAUCAUCACAUCCUGCAUUCUAGAUGAUCAGAUAUUGCAUCUUGGGGUCAGCAGGAUAAUAAGUGAGGGAAGAAGUACUUUACCACUGCUCCAGAUGCUAUAACGUAGAAAUCUGUAGGUAUCUCAUUCUGUAAGAUAAUAUCAACCUUGGGUGGAAAAUAUUCUGCUUUCAUAUCGGACACCUGUGAGGAGAAAAGCCAUGGGAUACUGCUUAGGUGAUAGGAUGAGAUUUCCACCACAAAACUCAAUGAAAAAUUUCCAUAUCGAUGGUAGUUGUUAUAAAACACAUGCUUUAUGGUAGUUGUUACCUCUGGAUGUAUGGACUGUCUAUUACUAUUAGAUACUUCUUCCUAUACUGGACACUGGCAUGAUAUUUUUUGGUAUUGAGUUUCCCUUUGGUUUAUUACACCAAAAUGUUAGUAUCAUUUAAUGCUUGACAUGAUGCUCUAGCCUCCUACUUGUAAUUUGUCAAACAGAAAAAUAGUGCCAUAAGAAAAUAGUACCCUCCUUGCUCUAGCAGUUUCUUAUGUUACUAUUUUCCAAGUAGGAGGCUAGAGCAUCCCCUCCCAACCUUGAAUGUUAGUGUAAUUUGUCUACUUAUAAGGAAGUAGGGCAUGGUGGUAUACAAUUCCAUGCUUAGUUCAUAUUAAGUUUGAGGUACGUACUUCACAUUUUGAAGCUUCAAUGUUAUGUUGUGGAGCUUGUGCUGGCAUUUUGUUUUAAUAUCUAAGUGAAACAUGGGUCAGGUUUAACCUUUUAAUGAAGGAGCCUUGAGUCUUAUGGGGAGGGGAAUUCACAUGCCAAGGAAACACAGUCUCCUGUCAAUGACAUCCAAUUAUUAUUUUUUAUAACUUUUUAUAGUUCUUAAUGCUAUGACAACUAGUAUAAGCUUGGAAGUUGGGUGAUGAUGCAUAAAGUGAAGAGGAGAGAGAAAUUUCCAUACCAGCUGGAUGAUAAGGUCUUCAGAAACUCCUUGGAAGAGGUAUGUCUUCUCCACAAGUCCAUGAAAAAGAUGCUGAGUUAUACUUGAUCUAAUUGCCUUGGGCAGGCCUUCAAGCACUUCUUCUUGCUGUAACUCUGCUGUCUUAAACUUGAGUUGCACAUGUGCCAGCAUUUGCUCUUUUAACCUUUCUGGAAGUCGGUUCUUGCUAGCAUAAUGCAAGACCUCAUUGAUGGUAUCCCUCUGUUAAACCAGGCAUUAGAGAGGAUUAUAUCAAUAGUUUUAUGGGUGAAUUUGUAUGUGUUUUCACUUAAUGUUUUUGUGUUAAAAGUGUAGGAGUUAUCAAUUUUGUAGAAAUGUUGGAUAAGGUUAAAACUUUUCAGAGUGAAACUAGUUGAAAAUCAAAGGUUUAUUCAACCUCUCAAUAGUAUAAACAUUGAGUGGUUUAGCUUAGUAAUUCCUCAGGUGAAACUAUAGAAUAAGAUGCCAUGUGGUGGGAGCAGAUAUCUAUUUAAAUUUUGCACAUAUAAAAAUAGGCCUAUUAUUUCAGUUGAAUCGAACCACUUUCUGUCUGCUUACUACUUAGUAGGCAGGUGCUUUCACAAUUCCAAUUGAAGUGCCCAAGAUUGAUUACAGUCCAAGUCAAAAUACUAAUGAACAAAAAAAAAAAAAAAAAAAUCCAACUACUUUUUUCUCUGGCUGUUGGCUACUUAUAUGUUUACAAAAAGGGCUGAAAGGGAAUUACCAUUGCAAAGGUCUGAACUGCACUGUGGACAACGAGGUUGGUCAUAUUUCCAAUUAAAUAUGCUGUUAGGCCAAUGUUGAAUAGCAUAUAGAAGAUAUUGAAAAUCUUUUCUCCCGUAUUCUCUGCAUGCAAGUCUCCAUAGCCAACUGUUGUAAGGGUGACAAUAGACCAAUAAAUGGAAUAGGUGUAUCCCAGCCAGAUGCUUCUAUUUUCAAAAUGAGAAACGUGAGCUCCAAUCCACGUGUUAGCUGGGGUUUUAUAAUGGGUGGCUAGCCAGAAGUAGAAGCACCCUGCUGAGUGUACUGUAAAUGCUGUGACCUGUGAAAAGUUGAAACAACAGAUUAAGAGGUCUUUAUUCAAUAGUUGAUGUUUAAUAGUCAACAUUUGGAAAACAGUUACACGAGCAGGCAGUUUGAUGAAACUAAUACUUACGCAUAUUAGCUUGAAAGAUCUCGCCCAGAAGUAACUGAAGCGUGUAUCUUUCUCUAACCUGGACAAUAAAGUUUUAGUUAGACGAGAGAUGAACUAUGUAGCUGUUGUUGUCACUUCUGUUUCACAAGCGUGUUGGUGCAUGUCAUUGAAUGUUCCAAUGCCUAUAUUUUCAAGUAACUAUUGAGGUAAUUUUAUUGAAUAACAUGCCAAGGAUGUCUAAGGUUUGAAUUAUAUGCUGGCACACUUAGGUGAGAUUUGGAGCCUUACUUUUUAGGAACUGGGAUGGUGAAGUAAAAUAAGCUUCCAACAUUGAUGAGGAUUAUGAUUCACAUAAGUAAAUUUUUACAGCCUCUUUUCAAAGCAAGAGUAAGGCAAGAGUAAGGCUGCAAUGGCUCUCCCCUGACCUUUGCAAAUUGGAGAGCCUUGUGCCCUGGGAGUACCAGUUUUACUCUAGUUCUUGUUAUUUGUGUGCAGAAUCAUUGCGAGAAUACUGAAAGUAAGCUUUGAAUAAUCAUAUAAAUGAAAGGGUUCUGCUUUGUUCAUGCUGCGAAUAGCGAUUUGUUGUUUGUUGAAGACUCAUGGAGUUACUUGUUAAGAGCCAGAGGAUUUUUUAUCUACUGGUGCUUUCUUUAUCUAGUUUGGAAAUUAUUUUCCUGUUCAGUAACUUGUAAUAGAUCUUGUGAAGCACUAUUCCUAAUCACAUCUGGCUGCAGUUCAAACCUUUCAAUUAUGCUGAAUCUGCUCCUUGAAAUUCUGACUGUGAAACAAUAACGUGGGUUAUGUAUCAUAAUCUUUCAUAGCUUGUUAUAAAUUCUUGUGUAAUAAGUAAUAAACUAAUAACUAAAUUCUUGAGCUGAGAUAAUAUGAUUAUUGAUUCAAAAUUUGAGUUUUAGGUAUUGAUAAUUAAUAUGAGAAAUGAAACAGGAUUAUCAUGGGUAUCAUCUCAACCAUCUCCUGUAAGGAUGGCAUAAUAUGAGUUGUAUUCUGCUUUAUAAGAAAUUCAUUUGCAGAAGAGAGACCAAUCUUAGUUCUGGAUGGAGGUCUUUCUUCAGGUACAGCUUCUACAUAUGCAUUGCAUUCAUGUAGAUGAAAAUUUUCAUCCCCAUGGAGAGCUAAUUGAGUUUCUCGCAGGUGCUAUAGCCAGUUCUUUCAUAUCUGGUAAAUAGAACUUUAAUUUUGUUUCUUUGUAGUAGACUUUGGAAGUAGAUUAUUUUCUCUGAUAAUUAUGAAAUUUGAAAGUGAACCAAUAUUUUAUUGGCAUCCAAUGCUCAUGCCAUUAUGGCUGUUGCAUAUCAAGAUGCAGAGAUGGAGGAUUCGGUGUGAUUUCUUGUAACACUAAAAUUUGCUUCAUAAACUAGGCAUGAGAGAUUUGAAACAGAGCCAUUGCAGGGCUAAAGUGGCAUGAUUUUUAUCUAUAUCCCAAUGGAGAAUUUUUUGUGAUUCUGAUUGCUAGAAUCUAUCUUGAUGUUAUUUUUCUUUACUAGACUGUUGUAAGAUUGAUGGCAAAAAACUUUCAGAUGAAUCAAAGUCACAGAAAUUUAUAAUUUUGAAACUUUCUUUUAACCAACUCAUUUGGGUUUAUAGAGAAGGAAGAAGUAUGGGAUGUGUUUACACGUGCUGAUUUUUAGCUAUUUAUAAUUAUUGAAAGGUUAUGAUCCUCUGUCUGAGAUUGCAUACACAUGCCAAUAGAUAACUGAAUAUGGGUCAUUCCUAUUCACAAAUGAAGAAUUUUGUUUCUUUAAAAUUAAGUUCCUAAUUUGAUUGUUAUUCAGUUUUUUUAGAUAUAUAAAUAAACAAGUGCUGAUAAUUUAUAUCAUUAUUUAGGCGCACAAGGACACUAUUCCUAACAAUAGGAGGCUGAAGCUCUGGUUUAUCAUUUUUAGUUGUAGAAAGUAGGCUGAUGAAUGUAGAAUAAAUGAAAAUAAACCUCUUACUUUCAUAACUAUGCACGGUAUUACACUCCCUAUUAAUAGGGAUGAGAGAAUUAUAAUUUCGGAAAGCAACAAAGAAUGAAAAGAUACACUAUACGCUAUACAAGGAAACAAAAGAUACAACACAAAAUUAAGAAAUCUCUAAAGCUGAACAGCUUUUUAAAUAUGAAAGAUAUGAUCAGGGCUGAUUUAAAAGCUGGUUGUUUAGGAAGGCUGCUGACUUAUCUUAGGAAGGCUGCUGACUUAUCUCAUUCCAUACUUCUUUGGUGCAUAAUUCAACACUCUCCCUCAAGCUGGUGAAUGAAUAUUCAUCAUUCCCAGCUUGCUUGUAAGAUCUUCAAAUUGUUUGAUAGGCAAUCCUUUUGUUAGUAAAUCAGCUAGCUGAUUUUUUGAAGAGACAAAAGGUAUACAAAUCACCUUAGCUUCUAUCUUUUUCUUGAUAAAGUGACGAUCAAUUUCAACAUGUUUAGUACGAUCAUGUUGCACCAGAUUAUGUGAAAGCUAAUUGCUGAUUGAUUGUCACAAAGUAAUUGCAUAGGACCAUUGAUAAAUACCUUUAGAUCAUCCAACACAAUCUUUAACCAAAGUAACUCACACAAGCCAAGUGCCAUUGCUCGAAACUUUGCCUCAGCACUAGACUUGACUACUACACCAUGUCUUUAACUCCUCCAAGACACCAAAUUUCCUCCCAAAAACACACAAUAACCUGUAAUGGACCUUCUAUCCAUAAGGGAGCCUCCAUAAUUAGUAUCAGUGUAGCCUAGGACUUCCAGUUCCUUCCUUGAUCUGAAUAAUAAACCCUUUCUUGGAGUUGCUUUAAGAUAACACAGAAUUCUUCUAACAGCUAGCAUGUGUUAUUCACUAGGAUGAUGCAUGAAUUGACUCACAAGGUUGAUAGUAGAUGUUAUGUCAAGUCGGGUAUGAGAUAGGUAGAUUAAUCUACCUACUAGUGUUUGGUAUCUCCCUCAAUCAACCACUGGACUAUCACUGUGAUCUAACUUCAGGUUAGGUUCCAAAGGUGUGUUGGCUGCCUUGCCACCAAGCAUCUUAGUCUCUUCCAACAAAUCCAUAGUGUAUUUUCUUUGGGAAAGAAAUAUACCUUCCUUAGAGUAGGUAACCUCUAUCCCCAAGAAAUACCCAAGUCUGCCAAGGACCUUGAUGUCAAACACACGGGCCAAAUGCUCCUUCAGUAAUUGCUGUUCACCACAAUCAUUUUUGAUGACAAUUAUAUCAUCUACAUUCACAAGCAAGGUUGUGAGAGUACCUUUCUUAGAAUGUUUGAUAAAUAGAGUGUGAUCCCCUCUGUUUUGCCAAUACCCUAUUUCUUUCAUAACCCUUGAGAACUAAUUAAACCAGGCUCUUAGAGACUGCUUUAGUUCAUAAAGGGCUUUCUUUAAUCUGCAAACAUAACCUGCAUCAAUUCCAUUAGUAAAUGCUGGUGGGGGUUCCAUAAAAACCUCUUCCUCUAGGUCACCAUGUAGGAAGACAUUUUUGACAUCUAGCUACAUCAAUUCCCAGCCAUAACAACUAGCCAAAGAGAGUAGAAUCCUCAUUGUAGUCAUUUUAGCGAUAGGUGCAAAACUUUCCAAAUAAUCUAUGCUGUAAGUUUGAGUGUAACCCUUGGCUACCAAUCAGGUUUGUACCUUUCCAACGUUCCAUCAGUAUUAUAUUUCACAUUGAACACCCAUAUGCACCCAAUUGGUUGAAUCUCCUUUGGUUUAGGCACUAUUCCCUGUAGAAGAUAAAGAAGAAUUCAAAAGAGGAUUGCCAUGAAGACUCCUAAAUUAUAAGAGAUAAGAUUUAUAAAGGUAAGAUUAUCUAGUUCUAAUUAUUCUCCUAAAUUUUAGAGAUAGAUUAUUUGUAUUUUAGAUAACAUAAAUAUCUUGUAAAGUAGAUUAGAUUAGACUCCUACAUCAUGUAGAUAUCUUGUGUAUAUAUUGAUAUCAUCUCUAAGGGAAAUAAUAACGAUUUAUUCUCUCUAGGAUUAAUUUUCCGCAUGGUAUUAGAGCAGAAUUCUCUUCUCUUUUUUUCCCCUGUUAGUCCUAGCCAAUUUCCUCCGAUUCACUAAGGCGUUUCUGUCCGAUUUAUUCCCUUUUAUAGUCGCCGGACUUGAUCAACUUGUGUCAUGGCCGGAGUGAGCAGCCAACCCUCUGAGAUUGUCCCUUUCCAAACCACCGAUUAUGUGAACAUGGAUAACAACAGUCCAUUCACAAUCAUCGGUCAUAAACUGAAUGGCCAGAAUUUCAUUUAGUGGUCACAAUCUGUUAUGAUGUUCAUAUGUGGAAACGGGAAGGAUGAUUACCUCACUGGAGCAGUCAGCAAACUGAAGGAGGAUGAAGCAUAGUACCGGAUCUGGAAGGCCGAAAACAACAUGGUGAUGUCUUGGUUGAUUAACUCGAUGAACAAUGAGAUAGGUGAGAAUUUCUUGUUAUACAAUACAACCCAAGAAAUUUGGGAGGCUGUUAAGGAAGCCUACUCCCACGUUGAGAAUACUUCCGAGUUGUUUGAGAUAGAAAGUGUUCUCAAUGAAUUACAACAAGGUGAGUCCCAAGUCACUCAAUAUUUCAAUUCUUUGAAAAAGUUUUGGCUUCAAUUGGAUAAGUGUGAUACUAUCCAAUGGAAGUGCACUGAAGAUUCAACCAAAUACAAAGAAAUAAUGGAGAAGAAGCGGCUGUAUAAGUUCUUGAUUGGUUUAAAUAAAAACCUAGAUGGUGUGAGAGGUAGGAUUCUUGGCACAAAACCUCUACCAAGCCUCAGGGAGGCAUUUGCUGAGGUUGGCAGAGAAGAAAGUAGGCUGAAACUAAUGUUAAACCCCUCAAAUUCAGGCCUGGAACAUUCUGCCCUAUUUACCCGAGGAGGCAGCCUAUCAAAUCCCAAGCAGAAGAGGCCGUCCUUGGUGUGAUCAUUGCCACAAACCUGGUCACACAAAGGAUACAUGCUGGGAUAUCCAUGGCAAGCCCUUGGAUUGGAAACCAGCACAUGAAAGGAAGAGUAAGGGUAAUUUUACAGCAAUCGAAGAGACAACUUCGGCCUCAAACUCAAGCUUAUUUAGCAAAGAGCAGAUGGAGUGGCUGCAGCAUAAUUUUGGAAAACCCAGCUGCAGGGUUCUACAGUGGCAGCAGGUUCUAUAACCCACAAAGGUAACCCUGUACAUGCUUUUAUUGCUAAUAGUAAGCUAUCUAUCCUAUGGAUUGUUAACUCAGGAGCUUCCGAUCACAUGACUAGUAAUGGUGGACUGUUAACAAACAUUUAGCCAUGUGAGAUUGCUGAUGGAUCAUUAGCAAAAGUAGCAAGAAUUGGAGCAGCUGUUUUGUCCACUGGUUUGACACUAAAAGAUGUCCUAUUUGUGCCUAAUCUAGACUGCAACCUUUUAUCUGUUAGUAAGCUCACUAUUGAUUUGGAGUGUGUUGCAAAAUUCUCAAAAGAUGUAUGUGAAUUUCUGGAUCGGACUUCGGGGAAGAUGAUUGGUAGUGCUGAGGCAUGUUCGGGACUCUACAUUCUUCAAGGGACUGACUCUAGAAAAACUGAAGUAAAAUCCAGCUAUUGUCAUUCUACUUCACCUCUUUGUUUCUCUAGUUUUCAUUCCAAUAAUAGUGCAAUUAUGUAACAUCCCAAAAAUUUGGAGAUACGUAGUAAUUAUUAAUUUUAGUAUUUGAGGAUAUUUUGGAAUAUUUGGAGAUUUUGGAGAAAAUAUUUAUUUAUAAUAUUUUGAGGAAAUGGAAAUUAAGGUAGUUAAUUAUUUUAUUUGAGAACAUUUAUAGAAAUGAGAAAGUAUUAAAAUAAAUUAAAUUGGGAGAUUUCUGAAAAUUUCGGGGUGCAAGUGAAAUAAAUAGAAAUUGGGAUUAAGGGGUGUGUGUGUAUUUCGAAAGUUUGGGGACUGUGGUGUAAUUGUCGAAAGUAGAGCCAGGGUUUCCUUAAAUAUUAUCGCGUGUGCAUAUAGGGUAAGGAGGCUGCUAGCCCAGCUGGUCACGCGUGCGCGUGUGCUGGGUGAGGUCGCGGGAUUGACCCGCGGCCGUGCGCGCGUGAGGUGGGUGGUUUUGCUGGAAUUUUUCCAGCGCAAGAAGCCUCGAAAUGACGUCGUUUCGGGGCAGGGGAGGGUGGCUGCGCAGUAGCCACUGGCCGCGCCACGUGGCGGCCUCUAGGCCGCCCACUGCGCCUUGCGCUCCAAGCAGCGUUUUGCUGCUAUUUUAAAGGCCAAAUUUGGCCAUUUUUAGGCCAAAUCGAGAGGAAGGAGUGAGGAAUUAUGGGAGAAGAAGAUGGAGUUCGGCCAGAAGAAAAAUGGAGGAAAAAGUGAGAAGAAAUCAGGGAUCUUGAGGCUAUUUGGUGUCUAAAAGUAUUCCGGUAAGUGAGUAAAAUUAGCAUAAAUGUUAUAUGUUGAAGUUAUAGAAUUUAUAUUACUAGAUUAUGUUGAUUAUGCGGUUAAAUUUAAUUAAUUUGAAUUGUUAACUUGUUAUUUUAUAUAGAACGUUUACUUCGCAACGGGAGCACAAAAGAGGCAGGAAUCAAUCGAUUUCAGGCAAGCUCCUAACUCUCUCCUCCUGUUCUUUAAUUCCCGUGAAAGUCUUUAUAGUUUUUUGUAUUUUAUUCCCUCCCUCACUGUGAUUCGGUUUCAUGCAUUAAUAAUUAUAAUCCGCGUGGCAACCACCCUAUGACUUAUAAUCAGAGUAAACUUGACCCAAAAUCCAUCAAGUUUAUAUUCCUUGGCUAUUCUCCACACCAACGAGGUUACAAAUGUUAUUCUCCCAGCCUUAAGCAGUUUUUCACAUCCAUGGAUGUUACCUUUUUUUAAACACAACCUUAUUAUCCCAAAACCAAUAUUCAGGGGGAGAAUACUCCAAAUCCUCAAGAAUAUCAGUUUUGGGAUUCUUUUUGGGAUCCUCAACCUAACCACCAGCAACCAGAACCUAGAAUUUCUCUAUCUAACCAACAACAGCAGCCUGAAAAUCAGCCACUGCCACCUGCAAACCCUAUAAAUCCGUCUCCCUCUCCUCAUGAGCUUCAAGUUUAUUCUAGAAAAAGGUCUAAACAGAAAGAAUGUGGGGAACCAACAUGUCUUGAGGCUAACAAAAAUUCUGAUCUAGAUCUGGAACUGUUGGAAAAGGGGAAGACGCCUGCUGGACAAAAUUCUGAAAUUUUAGAAAAUUCAGCCUUGGAUGAGGAUUUACAUUGGCCUAUAGCAUUGAGAAAGGGAGUACGAUCAUGCACUCAACACCCCAUUCACAACUACAUUUCCUACAAAGGUCUCUCACCUAAUUUCAGUGUUUUUAUAUCAAAUAUCAGUAAGGUGCAGGUUCGUAGAACAGUUCAGGAGGCUUUUCAACAUCCUAAGUGGAAUGAGGUAGCUCUUGAGGAAAUGAAGGGUUUGAAGAGAAAUGGGACUUGGGUAAUUACUGAAUUACCUCUUGGAAAAUAUCCUGUAGGCUGCAAGUGGGUAUUUACAAUUAAAUACUGAGAAAAUGGAGAAAUUGACAGGUAUAAAGCUCGUCCAGUGGCAAAAGGGUUCACUCAAUCUUAUGGUAUAGAUUACCAAGAGAAUUUUGCUCCAGUAGCAAAAUUGAAUACAAUCAGUCUUACUAUCCCUAGCUGUAAACCUGGAUUGGCCACUCUACCAAUUAGAUGUGAAGAAUGCUUUUUUAAAUGGAGACCUCGAAGAAGAGAUAUAUAUGGAAAUCCCUUAUGGAUUUGAAACUAAUCUCACAAGGAACAAGGUAUGGAAACUAAAGAAAUCACUAUAUGGGCUCAAAUAGUCUCCUAGAGCCUGGUUCAAGAAAUUUAUAAAGGCAGUCAAGAAAUAUGGAUAUGUUCAAUGUCAGGCAAACCACAUCUUAUUCAUUAAAAACUCCUUGGGAGGUAAAAUAUCCAUACUUAUUGUAUAUGUUGAUGAUAUAAUUGUUACAGGAGAUAAUAUUUCUGAAAUCAGGAAGCUUAAGGAAGUGUUGGCAAAAGAAUUUGAAAUCAAAGAUCUUGGAAGCCUAAGGUAUUUCUUAGGUAUGGAAGUUGCAAGGUCCAAAAAAGAAAUAUCAGUUUCUCAACGAAAGUAUAUCCUAGAUCUCCUUACUGAAACAUGAAUGUUGGGAUGCAAACCAGUUGAUACACCAAUGGAAACCACUUUAAAGCUGGAUGUGGGCAAAGAAAGUGCUCCAUUGGACAAAGGAAAAUAUCAAAGAUUAGUGGGAAAGCUUAUAUACUUGUCUCAUACAAGGCCAGAUAUAGGCUUUCCUGUGAGUGUGGUAAGCCAAUUCAUGAAUGAUCCUAGAGAAGGAUAUUUGGAAGCUGUAUAUCGGAUUCUGAGAUAUCUUAAGAUGACACCAGACAAAGGGUUAAUGUUCAGGAAAACUACUAACCGAGGGGUGAAGAUUUACAGUGAUGUUGAUUGGGCAGGAUCAAUUUGUGAUAGAAGGUCAACCUGUGGAUAUUGCUCAUUUGUUUGGGGAAAUUUAGUUACUUGGCAUAAUAAGAAGCAAUCUGUGGUAUCUAGGAGCAACGCAAAGGCUGAAUUUAGGGCAAUGGCCCAUGGGUUCUGUGAGGGUAUAUGGCUAAAACGAUUGCUACAAGAGUUACAUGUAUCUAUGGCACAACCAAUACAAGUAUUAUGUGACAACCAAUCGGCUAUCAGUAUUGCCAAAAACCCAGUCCACCAUGACCGAACAAAAUAUGUCGAAAUUGACAGGCACUUUAUUAAAGAGAAGUUAGAAGAAGGAGUUUUUCGAAUGAACUAUACUUCCACAAAUAGCCAAGUUGCAGAUAUUCUAACUAAGCCACUAGCAAGAAGAGUGUUUGAUGAGCUAAGUACCAAGCUUGGCCUAAUAAUAUAUUCAGCCUAGCUUGAGGGGGAGUGUAGAAGAUAAAGAAGAAUUCAAAAGAGGACUGCCAUGAAGACUCAUAAAUUAUAGGAGAUAAGAUUUAUAAAGAUAAGAUUAUCUAGUUCUAAUUAUUCUCCUAAAUUUUAGAGAUAGAUUAUUUUUAUUUUAGAUAACAUAAAUAUCUUAUAAAGUAGAUUAGAUUAAACUCCUACAUCAUGUAGAUGUCUGUGUAUAUAUUGAUAUCAUAUCUAAGGGAAAUAAUAACGAUUUAUUCUCUCUAGGAUUAAUUUUCUGUAUUCCCCAAGUUUUAUUAUUUUCCAAAGCCCUCAUCUCCUCAUGCAUAGCUUGUACCAAAUUCUGAUAUUGUAAUGCCUCUUCUACAGUUUUAGGAAUAGCUAUGGAAUCAAGGGAGGUCAAAAAACUCUUGUGGUUUGGGGACAACCUAUGAUAGGAAAUGAAUUGGGCAAUAAGGUGUUGUGUGCAACUUCUAACCCCUUUUCUAAUGGCAAUAGGUAGAUCCAAAUCAAAAUGUAGAGGAUUAGAACAAUUAAUGGAUUGAGAACCAUCAAAGGGCUGAGUGAGUCCAUACCUAAUUGAGGAAUAGAUGAUGGGCCCUGCUUAGCACAUUGAUUGGGUUGUUCCUUCCUCUUGUAUACAAACGGUGAGCCCUUGAACUUGACAGGAGACCUUUUGGUCUAAAGAGAGGGUGGAGAAUCAAGAGAUGUUUGCUGGUUCUCUAUUUCUACUGUAGGUGAAGUUGAGAGAUUAGGAGGAAAACGUGGUUGAUAUGGUUGAGACACUUCCAUGAUAGGUAAAUCAUGAUCACUAAUAGCUGUAAUCUCCCUCUUAGGACUAGAAGUAGAGGACUGAAAAAAAAGGACUGAUUCUCCACAAAUGUGACAUCCUUAGACACAAGAAUUUUUCGAGUAAGAGGGUGGUAGCAUUUGUACCCUUUUUGGGUAGGAGAAUACCACUAAAAGAACACAUCUAAGGGCUCGGGGAUCAAAGUUAUUCCUAUGAUGUUUAGAGACACGAAUUGAAUAUCUUAAGAGGAAGGGAGGUAUGAAGAUCUCCAUACAUCAGAACGUACUAAGAAGAAAGGAAACAAAGAAAGUUUAUUGCUAACAAUAUAAGGAACUCGAUGGUGUUUAGAUAGCUCACACACGCGACGAUGAAAAGAAUUAACAUCAACACCUUUAAAUAAAUUUGGGAACAUGGUUUUUAAUAGAGUAAAAGACGGGUGCCCUAAUCUAAAAUGCUGAAACCAUUCAUUGGAGUGAGUAGAGGUGAGCAUAGAGGAAUGAGUAAGGUUGGAAUGAUAUCCUAUAGGUAGCUCUCUACUUCUUUUGUAGGUAGUACUGACAUAAUAGUAUAGCAAUGGCACCACAACCUGGGGGGGGGGGGGGAUGAAUUGGAUGAUUGAGAAAUUAAAAAACUUUUUAGGAGGUUUUCAAAAAUGAUUCACAAAAAGUGAAAUGAAAAUAUAAACAAUAAAAAUAAAUGCAAGAGGGACACAACGAUAUAUAGUGGUUCAACUAAACCAAGGCUAAUCCAUUACCUUAUCUUCUCACUAAGGAUUUGAAAAUAUCCACUAAAACCUCUUACCACACCUAUUAUGCCCUCUAGCAUAAUCUACUAUGAAUUUACAACCUCCUACUAUUAAAGUAGGCCCUCUAGCUUCAAAAGGUAGGAAAUACAAGAAUGAUAAAAUUGGAGAGAAUUUGAGAGAUGAAUUCGUAGAACCCUAGGACCAAGCACUUGAGCUAAAAGCUCAAACUGUUAGCCGAGGUAGUCUUUUUUUCCUAUGAGUGCUAUGGGCCGCACCAUUACUAGUGCUCGAGCCUUUUGGACCACUUUUGGGUCAAUUUUUGGGUUCCAAGGACUGCCAUAACUCAAUAGAAUCUCUCAGUUAGAAAUGUCUCUCAACAAAAUUACAAAGGCUUGAAUAAAUUGAAACAAAUAAAGUUUAAAGCCUUUUUGAGAGAAAAAUGAAAGCUCAAGCACUAUGAAUACAAUGUAAGCUCAAAUGAAUUUGUUCUUCUUCAUUAGUCAUCUCUAGUGCUUCCUUGAAUGGUAUUUAUAGGCAUCCCAAGAGUUUAAAAAAAAAACUAGCCAUUGGACUUGCAAAACUAGCCAUUAGAGACAAAAACGAUUGAUAGCUUUUAAGGAUCGGUCGAUUGUAUAUAUGAAACAGUCGACAGGAAGUCGACUUUUGAGAUCGAAAGUCAACUUCUGAGGGCAAGAGUCGACUUCUUAGAGCGGGAGUUGACUUCUGCAUAACACACUCUUGGCUAGGCACAUCAUGCUCUCUAUUUGGUCGACUAAAGCUUUGCAAGAGUUGACUUUUGGUCCAAAAACGGUGUCGAUCGAAUGUUGAAAGCGGUUGAUAGAUUGACUUGGCAUUUUAAAGACAUUACUACAUUUUUCAAGCUCUUCAAAAUCAUUUUUGAUACAUCAAAAGUAAAUGACUCUUUUGACACUAAAACUUGAUUUUCCAAAUGCCAUCAAGAUAUUUUGAGAACAAAAUUUUUGGCAUUGGAUGAAAUUGAGUUUCAUUUUGGUGUUUGAAAAGAAAGAUAGAUGCACUAAUCAAAUUCGUUAACAUAAAAUCAAUAUUGUUUUUCAUCAUCAAAAUCAUAACAAAGGCAAAACAUCAAGUAAAACCCAUUCAAUGCCUUAGCAACACCAAUCAUUUUCCCUAUUGUUAGAUCUUAAAACACACAACCAUGAGGUGAGAAAUUCACACUAGAUUUAAGGCUUUGGGUAAGCUUGUCAACAGAGAAUAGAUUGGUGGAAAGGGUUGGUACAUACAUGACAUGUUGGGUAGGUAGAGAUGGCAAAUGGACAUUUCCUUGCCCAACUAUAGGAAUAGUUUGGCCAUUGGCAACAAUGAUUUUUCUGGAGCCAGUUAUUGGUUCAUAGGUUUCAAAAAAUUCCAAAUUAGAUGACAUGUGGUCAGUUGCUCCAGAAUCUAAAAUCCAUAGUUCAUCCUUAGUUGUAUAUGAGGCAAGUGAAAGCUCAGAGUUAAGGCACAUACUUGCUUGAGUUAAGGAGCAUUCACCUUGGAGAGUUUUAAGGAAAGAUUUUAGCUUCCCAAUCUCUUCUGUAUUCAGUUCUCCUAGGUCUAAAGAGGUUGCAGAGUCAGACUUUUCACUUGUCUCCUAUGUUUCUUUAGUGGAGAGAUAGUCUCUUCCCUGAUUCUUUGGCUGCAAGUUCUUGAAACCUCCAAGUUUGCUUAGUACUGUCUCCUUACCAUGCAAUUUAAAACAUGUAUCUCUUGUCUGUCUAGACUUUUUGUGGUAGGAGCACCAAAGCCCCUCCUUUGCUUGCUUUGAUGAGGACUGCUCUCUACCUUGCAAAGGCUUCAUCCAUGCCCCCUGCACCUUAUUAGUCACCACAGCCGAUCCCUCCGUGCCAUGAUUAGAAAACAUGAUUGCCUUUCUAUGUUCUUCACUUCUCACUAUACAAAAGACCUCAUUUAGGGAUGACAUUUUUUCCAUGCUGAGUAUUUGAGCCCGUCCUUAAUUGAACUUAGGGUUGAGACCUGCUAAAAAUUCCACUAUCCUAUCUCUUUCCAGCAUAGAGGUUAAGAUAAUGGCAUCUGCACUACACACCAUUUUUAUAUUUUGAUAGUGAUAUAAUUCCAGCCAAAAACCAGUUUUCUAAAAGGCAGCCACCUAAGCUUCGCCGAGCAGUUAAGCGGCCCUUGGUCGCUGCGAAUACAAGCAAAUCAACACCCUGCGCCGGGCCCGAUCAAUCGAGCCCAAUCGACGCUUAGGGCUAGCAGCCUGCGAUGCUUAACUUUCGAAGACUUACAAACUUACCUUGGCCUCGAUUUCUCUCUUGGCCCUGAUUUGUGUUCGGUAUUUUCCCUUGGCCUCGAUUUCUCUCUCUCGUCACCUUCGCCGCCAAUCGUCUCUUCGAUUUCUCUCUCACAACAACUGGUUUCUAUAGCAGGCUGGGUGGGGGCAAUGGCGGUCCGAGCGGCGUUAGUAGGGGCGAUGACAGUGCGAUCGGCAUUGGCGAGGGGUGGUGGUGUGAUAGUCGAAUGCGGGUUUGAGAGGGAGGGGGAGAGAGAAAGAAUACUAUAAUAGUAUUCAGAAAAGAAUGAAGAAAAUAAAAUAAAAUUUUCUAUAAAGCCUGCCCUUCUUUACAAGUAGCAUAUUCCUAUGUAUUCUAAAGCCAUUAUCUACAAGUAGCAUAUUCUUAUGUAUUCUAAACCCAUUUUCUACAGUUACCCAGGCAUAUUUUCUAGGCCUGUUUGGGCGCUAGGCCCCAGGCUGGCGCUCGACUAGCGUCUAACGUGUUUUAGAACACUCCUAAACACCAUUCAUUCGGUUAUAAUAUUUAGUUACAGUUAAAGCCCCUUGCUUUGUACUAUUGAUUUUAGUUUUAAUCUCAUGCACAAUCGAUGUAUCUUGCACUUUAGAAUAGGUUCUAUUCACGGUUUCCUAGAUUUCUCUAGCGAUAGAUAAAAACAUAUAGUUUUUACUUACCUUUGGAAGCAUAACUCCACAACCAAGACAUCAACAUUGAAUCCUCCACAAUCCAAGCAACAAAGCUUGGAUUCGUCACCUUAGGGGCUCGUCUGGUGAGAUGGGCUAUCUUCCGUCAGCCCUUCAAAAAAGUCCUCACCAAUUGGGACUACUAAAGAUAGUUUCCACCAUUCAAUUUGUAGGAGUGGUGCAUUCCCGGUAGGUCACUAGUCGGAGUUCCACCGACAGUUUGUUCCACAGACAUUGCUUCCCUUGUUGACAUAGGGAAAGCAGUUUCUGAUAUCUCUGACAUUACAAGGGAGAUAUGGCACCAGAAGAAACAAGGAAAAACGGAGGAGGGAUUGAGGCAAUGAAGGGUCACAAGAGGAGGAAAAAUUGGUGCAAUAAAGGCACACUAACAAUCGGAGGUUUUAGGCUUUGAUACUAUGUAGAAAGUAGGCUGAUGAAUGUAGAAUAAAUGAGAAUAAACCUCUUACUUUCAUAACCAUGCACGGUAUUACACUCUCUAUUAGUAGGGAUGAGAGAAUUACAUUUUAGGAAAGCAACAAAGAAUGGAAAGAUACACUAUACAUUAUGCAAGGAAACAAAAGAUACAACACAAAAUUAAGAAAUCUCUAAAAACUGAACAGCUUUCUAAAUAUGAAAGAUAUGAUCAGGGCUGAUUUGGAAAGCUGGUUGUUUAGGAAGGCUGCUAAACUAUCUUAGGAAGGCUGCUGACUUAUCUCAUUCCAUACUUCUCCUGUGAAUAAUUCAACGUUAGUGGUUAUGCAAACUAUACAUUUCUGAGGAAAUGUACCUUGUGAAUAAUUCACUAACACGUCGGAGUCGCCACAGUCGAAGCAAGUUAAGGAACCUGAAUAGUUGAUUUUCAUGCGAUUUCCCAUUGAAGAUCCUGUGUAGGGUCUGAAAUGGCAAAGUUGAGGCUAUGUCCAUUGGGAACCCUAGGUGUGUAACGUACCUGAACAAGAAAUUAAUUAUUCAUUCAGACAGCGUAAGCAAUUAAAUUCUCAAAAAAUAAAAAAAAAGGAUAGAGGCCUUAUGGUGCCAAUGGCAGGCAUUACUUGUUUGCAAUAGUAGAAUAGUGACAACCUAGAGCGAAACUUGAAAUCUCUCUGAGUUUAACUGCGGCUAAGUUUGGUUUAUUCUAUAUUUCAGAAAGUCUUGAAUGUGCUUUAAUUGAGCCAGUUUCUAGUCAAAUUUGUUGAGACUUAGAACUAAGACAAAUUAUGACAAUAGAGAAGAACUCAGACUUGUGAACUGGCAAUGGUUUGAGUGCAUACCUUACUGCUAUUUUCUUGUGAUCAUCUACCAAGAGAUAGGUGGAUUUGUCCAGGUAGGCCACAAAGAAGGUUAGAACAAUGUCAAUGGCAAAAAUGGCAUCCACAGCCAAGUCAAGGGGCAGGAGAGCCCCAGUUCCCACCUUCUUAAAAGCAAGCUCAAACGGGGAUGACCAUGCAGAAUACACCACCAGCACCACCAGAAAGAUUGAAGCAAAGAUUUGGAGAAGAAAACUUCACAAGAUAUAGCAUUAGUUCCGACCAAAUCUUUGAUCAAGUGUUUAUGACGACUAUUUUUGCUGGGAGAAGAAACUUCACCGGUAUCUACGAUCAUAUGGGGCAAUAAUGUAUUUUCU
Molecule: RNA transcript, 20110 nt
Organism: Diospyros lotus (date-plum)
Lineage: Eukaryota; Viridiplantae; Streptophyta; Magnoliopsida; Ericales; Ebenaceae
Exons: 5
Source: RefSeq, a predicted model, not a curated record